This 253-nucleotide ribosomal RNA is filed under the name uncultured bacterium. RNAcentral describes it as "partial 16S ribosomal RNA". It matches the Rfam family "Bacterial small subunit ribosomal RNA", at positions 524 to 776 of the family's 1533-position model. The record is from RNAcentral.
GACGUAGGAUGCAAGCGUUGUCCGGAUUUAUUGGGCGUAAAGAGUUCGUAGGCGGCAUUCCAUGUCUAAUGUUAAAUCAUAGAGCUCAACUCUAUACCUGCAUUGGAAACUGGUUUGCUAGAGCAAGGUAGGGGUCAGAAGAAUUCCUGGUGUAGCGGUGAAAUGCGUAGAUAUCAGGAGGAACACCUGUGGCGAAAGCGUCUGACUGGGCCUUUGCUGACGCUGAGGAACGAAAGCUAGGGGAGCAAAAGGG